RNAcentral lists this unclassified non-coding RNA (329 nucleotides) under soil metagenome. RNAcentral's name for it is "partial contains 5.8S ribosomal RNA, internal transcribed spacer 2, and large subunit ribosomal RNA". The stretch from base 1 to 120 matches the Rfam family "5.8S ribosomal RNA", at positions 35 to 154 of the family's 154-position model. The record is from RNAcentral.
GAUGAAGAACGCAGCGAAAUGCGAUAAGUAAUGUGAAUUGCAGAAUUCAGUGAAUCAUCGAAUCUUUGAACGCACAUUGCGCCCCUUGGUAUUCCGAGGGGCAUGCCUGUUCGAGCGUCAUUAUAACCCCUCAAGCUCAGCUUGGUGUUGGGGCCUGCUGCACUGGCAGCCCUUAAAAUCAGUGGCGGCGCCAUCUGGCUCUAAGCGUAGUAAUUCUUCUCGCUUUGGAGUCCUGGUGGAUGCUUGCCAUCAACCCCCAAUUUUUCUAUGGUUGACCUCGGAUCAGGUAGGGAUACCCGCUGAACUUAAGCAUAUCAAUAAGCGGAGGA